ACGAGGCGAGAAGGAGGCGUAGGCGGAGCCAGCAGCGCCCCCCUCCCUACACCCUCGGCCGUUCAUAAAUUGCCCCUAGGGAGCGUGACCGCCCUGCCUGCGCGAACAGGACGGGUAAACGGCGUGCUGCAGCAGGGACUGCAUCUCUGUGGACACUCCAGAAGACGCCUGUCCAGCACCACAAAAAUCCCUCACACCUGCAGAAGUGCGGAGGCCAAGUUGGUAGCAGGCAGAGAUGACAUUUCAGCUCAAGAGAGGUCAUUUCAGGUCAAGAGAGGUCCAGCUGGAGAGGUCUUCGCAGACAGUGCAGGUUGCAAUGUUAAUAUUCUUAAAUGUAUCCUGAAGACAGUUUACUCAAUGUGAGCAACAACAAGAGAAAAAAUGUCAAGGAAGAAGAGGAGAGGCAGAAUAGACUUUCAGCAUGUAACAGUUAGAAGCCAACGGCUGUUAGAAUCUCUGAAGAGAAAAGUUUCAGUAUUAAAAGAAAUGCUUGCAGCCAUUUCUCCCACUCAUGAGUAAUUACUCAUACGCAUUGAGUAAUAAUUGCAAUUGAAAACAUAUGAGUGAUUUCAGCACUCAGUAUUAUGAUCAUGGAUCAUAAUCUGGAUUUUAAUGGACAAAAUAAAAAAUAAAAUGCUGUGG
This 642-nucleotide long non-coding RNA is filed under the name Anas platyrhynchos platyrhynchos (common mallard). RNAcentral describes it as "lncRNA (ENSAPLG00000017162.1)". The record is from RNAcentral. Lineage: Eukaryota; Metazoa; Chordata; Aves; Anseriformes; Anatidae.